CACCAGGUCCUUUUAAGGACCAAAGAAAAGAAAAAUAACGUUUUUC
This is a non-coding RNA of Musca domestica (house fly), 46 nucleotides long. The record is from Rfam. NCBI's taxonomy places the organism in Eukaryota, Metazoa, Arthropoda, Insecta, Diptera, Muscidae.